UAGGAAGUUGGACUUUCUGGGUGAAUGGA
Molecule: non-coding RNA, 29 nt
Filed under: Rattus norvegicus (Norway rat)
Lineage: Eukaryota; Metazoa; Chordata; Mammalia; Rodentia; Muridae
Source: RNAcentral